CUACGGAGGGUGCAAGCGUUAUCCGGAAUCAUUGGGUUUAAAGGGUCCGUAGGCGGGAAUCUAAGUCAGUGGUGAAAUCUUGCAGCUCAACUGUAAAAUUGCCAUUGAUACUGGAUUUCUUGAAUUAGUGUGAAGUGGUUAGAAUGUGUAGUGUAGCGGUGAAAUGCAUAGAUAUUACACAGAAUACCAAUUGCGAAGGCAGAUCACUAACACUAUAUUGACGCUAAGGGACGAAAGCGUGGGGAGCGAACAGGAUUAGAAACCCCAGUAGUCC
This 274-nucleotide ribosomal RNA is filed under the name uncultured bacterium. Its description in RNAcentral is "partial 16S ribosomal RNA". It matches the Rfam family "Bacterial small subunit ribosomal RNA", at positions 523 to 796 of the family's 1533-position model. The record is from RNAcentral.